RNAcentral lists this ribosomal RNA (419 nucleotides) under uncultured bacterium. Its description in RNAcentral is "bacterial SSU rRNA". It matches the Rfam family "Bacterial small subunit ribosomal RNA", at positions 475 to 891 of the family's 1533-position model. The record is from RNAcentral.
GUACCUUCGAAGGAAGCACUGGCUAACUCCGUGCCAGCAGCCGCGGUAAUACGGAGAGUGCAAGCGUUGUUCGGAAUUAUUGGGCGUAAAGCGCGUGUAGGCGGCUCAACAAGUCUGGCGUGAAAGCCCCAAGCUCAACUUGGGAAGUGCGCUGGAAACUGUCGAGCUUGAGUACUGGAGGGGGAAGGGGAAUUGUCGAGUGUAGAGGUGAAAUUCGUAGAUAUUCGGAAGAACAUCAGUGGCGAAGGCGCCUUCCUGGACAGAUACUGACGCUGAGACGCGAAAGCGUGGGGAGCAAACAGGAUUAGAUACCCUGGUAGUCCACGCUGUAAACGAUGGGUGCUAGACGUCGCGGGUAACCAACCCUGCGGUGUCGAAGCUAACGCGAUAAGCACCCCGCCUGGGGAUUACGGCCGCAA